UACGUAGGGCGCAAGCGUUAUCCGGAAUUAUUGGGCGUAAAGAGCUCGUAGGCGGUUUGUCGCGUCUGCCGUGAAAGUCCGGGGCUCAACUCCGGAUCUGCGGUGGGUACGGGCAGACUAGAGUGAUGUAGGGGAGACUGGAAUUCCUGGUGUAGCGGUGAAAUGCGCAGAUAUCAGGAGGAACACCGAUGGCGAAGGCGGCAUCCUGGACCAUUACUGACGCUGAGGAGCGAAAGCCAGGGGAGCAAACGGG
Molecule: ribosomal RNA, 253 nt
Filed under: uncultured bacterium
Lineage: Bacteria
Description: partial 16S ribosomal RNA
Rfam family: Bacterial small subunit ribosomal RNA
Source: RNAcentral